GAUGAACGCUGGCGGCGUGCCUAAUACAUGCAAGUCGAGCGAACGGACGAGAAGCUUGCUUCUCUGAUGUUAGCGGCGGACGGGUGAGUAACACGUGGAUAACCUACCUAUAAGACUGGGAUAACUUCGGGAAACCGGAGCUAAUACCGGAUAAUAUUUUGAACUGCAUGGUUCGAAAUUGAAGGGCGGCUUCGGCUGUCACUUAUGGAUGGACCCGCGUCGCAUUAGCUAGUUGGUGAGGUAACGGCUCACCAAGGCAACGAUGCGUAGCCGACCUGAGAGGGUGAUCGGCCACACUGGGACUGAGACACGGCCCAG
RNAcentral lists this ribosomal RNA (318 nucleotides) under uncultured bacterium. RNAcentral's name for it is "bacterial SSU rRNA". It matches the Rfam family "Bacterial small subunit ribosomal RNA", at positions 28 to 334 of the family's 1533-position model. The record is from RNAcentral.